This 57-nucleotide ribosomal RNA is filed under the name Anelosimus eximius. Its description in RNAcentral is "partial 28S ribosomal RNA". The record is from RNAcentral. Lineage: Eukaryota; Metazoa; Arthropoda; Arachnida; Araneae; Theridiidae.
GACCUCAGAUCAGACGAGAUGACCCGCUGAAUUUAAGCAUAUCAAUAAGCGGAGGAA